CUACGGAGGGUGCAAGCGUUAUCCGGAUUCAUUGGGUUUAAAGGGUACGUAGGCGGAUAGAUAAGUUAGUGGUGAAAUCCCGAAGCUCAACUUCGGAACUGCCAUUAAAACUGUCUAUCUUGAAUUUGGUUGAAGUGGGCGGAAUAUGACAUGUAGCGGUGAAAUGCAUAGAUAUGUCAUGGAACACCGAUAGUGAAGACAGCUCACUAAGCCAAUAUUGACGCUGAGGUACGAAAGCAUGGGUAGCGAACAGGAUUAGAAACCCCAGUAGUCC
Molecule: ribosomal RNA, 274 nt
Filed under: uncultured bacterium
Lineage: Bacteria
Description: partial 16S ribosomal RNA
Rfam family: Bacterial small subunit ribosomal RNA
Source: RNAcentral